GCCCUCAUAACUCAAUCGGUAGAGUAGCGGUCUUUUAAACCGUAUGUUGUAGGUUCGAGUCCUACUGGGGGUACUA
RNAcentral lists this transfer RNA (76 nucleotides) under Phycisphaerae bacterium. Its description in RNAcentral is "tRNA-Lys". It matches the Rfam family "tRNA". Rfam says of the family: Transfer RNA (tRNA) molecules are approximately 80 nucleotides in length. The record is from RNAcentral. Lineage: Bacteria; Pseudomonadati; Planctomycetota; Phycisphaerae.